GAUGAACGCUGGCGGUAUGCCUUACACAUGCAAGUCGUACGAGAGUUUUUAACUCAAGUGGCGGACGGGUGAGUAACACGUAAGAAUUUGCCUUUAGGAGGGGGAUAACAACUGGAAACGGUUGCUAAUACCCCAUAUGCUUUCGAGUGAAAUGGAUUUCCGCCUAGAGAGAAGCUUGCGGCUGAUUAGCUUGUGGUGAGGUAAUGGCUCACCAAGGCGACGAUCAGUAUCUGGUUUGAGAGGACGAUCAGACACACUGGAACUGAGACACGGUCCAGACUCCUACGGGAGGCAGCAGUGAGGAAUCUUGGACAAUGGGGGAAACCCUGAUCCAGCCAUGCCGCGUGAACGAUGAAGGCCUUAGGGUUGUAAAGUUCUUUCGCCUGGGAAGAUAAUGACGGUACCAGGUAAAG
Molecule: ribosomal RNA, 413 nt
Filed under: uncultured bacterium
Lineage: Bacteria
Description: bacterial SSU rRNA
Rfam family: Bacterial small subunit ribosomal RNA
Source: RNAcentral